Molecule: ribosomal RNA, 490 nt
Filed under: uncultured bacterium
Lineage: Bacteria
Description: partial 16S ribosomal RNA
Rfam family: Bacterial small subunit ribosomal RNA
Source: RNAcentral
AUUGAACGCUGGCGGCAGGCCUAACACAUGCAAGUCGAACGGUAACAGGAAGCAGCUUGCUGCUUUGCUGACGAGUGGCGGACGGGUGAGUAAUGUCUGGGGAACUGCCUGAUGGAGGGGGAUAACUACUGGAAACGGUAGCUAAUACCGCAUAACGUCGCAAGACCAAAGAGGGGGACCUUAGGGCCUCUUGCCAUCGGAUGUGCCCAGAUGGGAUUAGCUAGUAGGUGGGGUAACGGCUCACCUAGGCGACGAUCCCUAGCUGGUCUGAGAGGAUGACCAGCCACACUGGAACUGAGACACGGUCCAGACUCCUACGGGAGGCAGCAGUGGGGAAUAUUGCACAAUGGGCGCAAGCCUGAUGCAGCCAUGCCGCGUGUAUGAAGAAGGCCUUCGGGUUGUAAAGUACUUUCAGCGGGGAGGAAGGGAGUAAAGUUAAUACCUUUGCUCAUUGACGUUACCCGCAGAAGAAGCACCGGCUAACUCCGUG